CCGAGUUCAUGCCCUUCGGGGUAGAUCUCCCACCCUUUGUAUACUAUACCUUUGUUGCUUUGGCGGGCCGCCUAGCUACUGGCUUCGGCUGGUAAGUGCCCGCCAGAGAACCCAAAACCCUGAAUUAUUAGUGUCGUCUGAGUAAAAUAUUUAAUAUUUA
RNAcentral lists this unclassified non-coding RNA (160 nucleotides) under uncultured Tetracladium. RNAcentral's name for it is "sequence contains ITS1". Lineage: Eukaryota; Fungi; Ascomycota. The record is from RNAcentral.